This 465-nucleotide ribosomal RNA is filed under the name Vreelandella stevensii. Its description in RNAcentral is "partial 16S ribosomal RNA". It matches the Rfam family "Bacterial small subunit ribosomal RNA", at positions 338 to 795 of the family's 1533-position model. Lineage: Bacteria; Pseudomonadati; Pseudomonadota; Gammaproteobacteria; Oceanospirillales; Halomonadaceae. The record is from RNAcentral.
CCUACGGGGGGCAGCAGUGGGGAAUAUUGGACAAUGGGCGAAAGCCUGAUCCAGCCAUGCCGCGUGUGUGAAGAAGGCCUUCGGGUUGUAAAGCACUUUCAGUGGGGAAGAAAGCCUUGGGGCUAAUACCCUCGAGGAAGGACAUUACCCACAGAAGAAGCACCGGCUAACUCCGUGCCAGCAGCCGCGGUAAUACGGAGGGUGCGAGCGUUAAUCGGAAUUACUGGGCGUAAAGCGCGCGUAGGCGGUCUGAUAAGCCGGUUGUGAAAGCCCAGGGCUCAACCUGGGAACGGCAUCCGGAACGGGCAGGCUAGAGAGCAGGAGAGGAAGGUGGAAUCCCCGGUGUAGCGGUAAAAUGCGUAGAGAUAGGGAGGAACACCAGUGGCGAAGGCGACUUUCGGGACUGAAACUGACGCUGAGGUGCGAAAGCGUGGGUAGCAAACAGGAUUAGAUACCCCAGUAGUC